This 327-nucleotide ribosomal RNA is filed under the name uncultured low G+C Gram-positive bacterium 340ev. Its description in RNAcentral is "bacterial SSU rRNA". It matches the Rfam family "Bacterial small subunit ribosomal RNA", at positions 9 to 327 of the family's 1533-position model. Lineage: Bacteria; Bacillati; Bacillota. The record is from RNAcentral.
GAGUUUGAUCCUGGCUCAGGACGAACGCUGGCGGCGUGCCUAACACAUGCAAGUCGAGCGAUGAAAUCCUUCGGGAUGGAUUAGCGGCGGACGGGUGAGUAACACGUGGGUAACCUGCCUCAAAGAGGGGAAUAGCCUCCCGAAAGGGAGAUUAAUACCGCAUAAUAUGUUUUGGUCGCAUGACUUAGACAUCAAAGGAUUUUCUUCGGAGAUUCCACUUUGAGAUGGACCCGCGGCGCAUUAGCUAGUUGGUGAGGUAACGGCUCACCAAGGCGACGAUGCGUAGCCGACCUGAGAGGGUGAUCGGCCACAUUGGAACUGAGACAC